GGGGCCAUGGCGCAGUUGGGAGCGCGUCUGCAUGGCAUGCAGAAGGUCGGGGGUUCGAGCCCCCCUGGCUCCA
Molecule: transfer RNA, 73 nt
Filed under: Planctomycetota bacterium
Lineage: Bacteria; Pseudomonadati; Planctomycetota
Also listed under: 1 other name
Description: tRNA-Ala
Rfam family: tRNA
About the family: Transfer RNA (tRNA) molecules are approximately 80 nucleotides in length. Their secondary structure includes four short double-helical elements and three loops (D, anti-codon, and T loops).
Source: RNAcentral